Molecule: non-coding RNA, 591 nt
Organism: Paramuricea clavata
Lineage: Eukaryota; Metazoa; Cnidaria; Anthozoa; Malacalcyonacea; Plexauridae
Source: the annotation of a GenBank genome assembly
AGUUUUAUAAUAUAAUAGUGAAUGAUUCCGAAUAUUCAAAACGGAUUGAAAGAAUGAAAGCAGUAAUUAUGUACUGUAUAACGGUUUAAACGUAGGCCGUACAGCACACUGCCCACUGGUCACUGGGCCGAAGGAUAAACCGAAAAUUCACUUCUCUCCAUGACAAGCUUUAAUGUUCAGUCGAUCCGCUACAUUGAAAGAUGAGUACUUGGCUAUUUUUUGGCAGGGGUAACGAAAUAUAUUGGCUGUUCUCUAAGUGUUUCUUAGUGCGUUGGCCAUCGGAAUAUAAUAUAACUAUACAUAAGCUUGAUAGACGUAAGAUAACGAGUUUCACAGGCACAAUCCUAUUUUAAAUACUAUGGUUUUUGGCAGUUUUGCAUCAUAUGUGCAGUAAAAGCCCCAUUUAUCUACUUCCCCAACGUGUAAAACGCGAAAAAACUUUAUUAAUAUGAACAAAAAUUUGUAAUAGUAAACAGUGUAUUUUAUUAUAAAGGAUUUUCGUUUUUCUACUGCUCCGUAUUUCGUAUGCUCCGUGCUCCGUGUGCUCCGUGCUCCGUGUGCUCCGUGCUCCGUGUGCUCCGUGCUCCGUGU